UACGUAGGGGGCAAGCGUUGUCCGGAAUCAUUGGGCGUAAAGCGCGUGUAGGCGGUUCGGUAAGUCCGCUGUGAAAGUCGGGGGCUCAACCCUCGGAUGCCGGUGGAUACUGUCGGGCUUGAGUACGGAAGAGGCGAGUGGAAUUCCUGGUGUAGCGGUGAAAUGCGCAGAUAUCAGGAGGAACACCAAUGGCGAAGGCAGCACUCUGGGACGUGACUGACGCUGAGACGCGAAAGCGUGGGGAGCAAACAGG
RNAcentral lists this ribosomal RNA (253 nucleotides) under uncultured bacterium. Its description in RNAcentral is "partial 16S ribosomal RNA". It matches the Rfam family "Bacterial small subunit ribosomal RNA", at positions 524 to 776 of the family's 1533-position model. The record is from RNAcentral.